AACGAACGCUGGCGGCGUGCCUAACACAUGCAAGUCGUGCGAGAAAGUUCCUUCGGGAGCGAGUAAAGCGGCGCACGGGUGAGUAACACGUAGGUAACCUGCCCCCCAGUCUGGAACAACUAGAGGAAACUCUAGCUAAUGCCGGAUGAGACCACGAUCCCUUCUGGGGUUGCGGCCAAAGAUGGCCUCUACUUGUAAGCUAUCGCUGAGGGAUGGGCCUGCGGGCCAUUAGCUUGUUGGUGAAGUAACGGCUCACCAAGGCUGUGAUGGCUAGCUGGUCUGAGAGGAUGACCAGCCACACUGGGACUGAGACACGGCCCAGACUCCUACGGGAGGCAGCAGUGGGGAAUAUUGCGCAAUGGGCGAAAGCCUGACGCAGCGACGCCGCGUGGGUGAUGAAGGCCUC
This 406-nucleotide ribosomal RNA is filed under the name uncultured bacterium. RNAcentral's name for it is "bacterial SSU rRNA". It matches the Rfam family "Bacterial small subunit ribosomal RNA", at positions 29 to 418 of the family's 1533-position model. The record is from RNAcentral.